UGGGGAAUUUUGGACAAUGGGGGCAACCCUGAUCCAGCCAUCCCGCGUGUGCGAUGAAGGCCUUCGGGUUGUAAAGCACUUUUGGCAGGGAAGAAACAGCCUGGGCUAAUAUCCCGGGCGACUGAUGGUACCUGCAGAAUAAGCACCGGCUAACUACGUGCCAGCAGCCGCGGUAAUACGUAGGGUGCAAGCGUUAAUCGGAAUUACUGGGCGUAAAGCGUGCGCAGGCGGUUCGGAAAGAAAGGUGUGAAAUCCCAGGGCUUAACCUUGGAACUGCACUUUUAACUACCGGGCUAGAGUACGUCAGAGNGGGGUAGAAUUCCACGUGUAGCAGUGAAAUGCGUAGAGAUGUGGAGGAAUACCGAUGGCGAAGGCAGCCCCCUGGGAUGAUACUGACGCUCAUGCACGAAAGCGUGGGGAGCAAACA
Molecule: ribosomal RNA, 427 nt
Filed under: uncultured bacterium
Lineage: Bacteria
Description: bacterial SSU rRNA
Rfam family: Bacterial small subunit ribosomal RNA
Source: RNAcentral